GAUGAACGCUGGCGGCGUGCCUAAUACAUGCAAGUCGAGCGAACGGACGCGAAGCUUGCUUCUCUGAUGUUAGCGGCGGACGGGUGAGUAACACGUGGAUAACCUACCUAUAAGACUGGGAUAACUUCGGGAAACCGGAGCUAAUACCGGAUAAUAUUUUGAACCGCAUGGUUCAAAAGUGAAAGACGGUCUUGCUGUCACUUCUAGAUGGAUCCGCGCUGCAUUAGCUAGUUGGUAAGGUAACGGCUUACCAAGGCAACGAUGCAUAGCCGACCUGAGAGGGUGAUCGGCCACACUGGAACUGAGACACGGUCCAGACUCCUACGGGAGGCAGCAGUAGGGAAUCUUCCGCAAUGGGCGAAAGCCUGACGGAGCAACGCCGCGUGAGUGAUGAAGGUCUUCGGAUCGUAAAACUCUGUUAUUAGGGAAGAACAUAUGUGUAAGUAACUGUGCACAUCUUGACGGUACCUAAUCAGAAAGCCACGGCUAACUACGUG
This 497-nucleotide ribosomal RNA is filed under the name uncultured bacterium. RNAcentral's name for it is "partial 16S ribosomal RNA". It matches the Rfam family "Bacterial small subunit ribosomal RNA", at positions 28 to 507 of the family's 1533-position model. The record is from RNAcentral.